Molecule: ribosomal RNA, 279 nt
Filed under: uncultured bacterium
Lineage: Bacteria
Description: partial 16S ribosomal RNA
Rfam family: Bacterial small subunit ribosomal RNA
Source: RNAcentral
UGCCAGCCGCCGCGGUAAUACGGAGGGGGUUAGCGUUGUUCGGAAUUACUGGGCGUAAAGCGUACGUAGGCGGGCAAAGUAGUGAAACGUGAAAUCCUAGGGCUUAACCCUAGAACUGCGUUUCAAACCAUUUGUCUUGAGUACAGGAGAAGUAAGUGGAAUUCUCAGUGUAGCGGUGAAAUGCGUAGAUAUUGAGAAGAACACCUGUGGUGAAGACGGCUUACUAUUCUGAUACUGACGCUAAGGCACGAAGGCUAGGGGAGCGAACAGGAUUAGAUA